Molecule: unclassified non-coding RNA, 343 nt
Filed under: soil metagenome
Description: partial contains 5.8S ribosomal RNA, internal transcribed spacer 2, and large subunit ribosomal RNA
Rfam family: 5.8S ribosomal RNA (bases 1-120)
Source: RNAcentral
GAUGAAGAACGUAUCGAAACGCGAUAAGUAAUGUGAAUUGCAGAAUCCAGUGAAUCAUCGAAUCUUUGAACGCACAUUGCGCCCGCCAGCAUUCUGGCGGGCAUGCCUGUUCGAGCGUCAUUUCAACCCUCGCCCUCCCCUUGGGGAGGUCGGCGUUGGGGACCGGCAGCACACCGCCGGCCCUGAAAUGGAGUGGCGGCCCGUCCGCGGCGACCUCUGCGCAGUAAUACAGCUCGCACCGGGACCCCGACGCGGCCACGCCGUAAAACACCCAACUUCUGAACGUUGACCUCGAAUCAGGUAGGACUACCCGCUGAACUUAAGCAUAUCAAUAAGCGGAGGA